Molecule: long non-coding RNA, 1657 nt
Organism: Oncorhynchus keta (chum salmon)
Lineage: Eukaryota; Metazoa; Chordata; Actinopteri; Salmoniformes; Salmonidae
Exons: 3
Source: RefSeq, a predicted model, not a curated record
UAGCAGACGCUCUUAUGCAGUAGUGAGUCAUUUAGCAGACGCUCUGAUCCAGUAGUGAGUCAUUUAGCAGACGCUCUGAUGCCGAGGUGAGUCAUUUAGCAGACGCUCUGAUGCCGAGGUGAGUCAUUUAGCAGACGCUCUGAUCCAGUAGUGAGUCAUUUAGCAGACGCUCUGAUGCGGAGGUGAGUCAUUUAGCAGACGCUCUGAUGCAGAGGUGAGUCAUUUAGCAGACACUCUGAUGCGGAGGUGAGUCAUUUAGCAGACACUCUGAUGCAGAGGUGAGUCAUUUAGCAGACGCUCUGAUGCGGAGGUGAGUCAUUUAGCAGACGCUCUGAUGCAGAGGUGAGUCAUUUAGCAGACGCUCUGAUGCAGAGGUGAAUCAUUUAGCAGACGCUCUGAUGCGGAGGUGAGUCAUUUAGCAGACGCUCUGAUGCGGAGGUGAGUCAUUUAGCAGACGCUCUGAUGCGGAGGUGAGUCAUUUAGCAGACGCUCUGAUGCAGAGGUGAAUCAUUUAGCAGACGCUCUGAUGCGGAGGUGAGUCAUUUAGCAGACGCUCUGAUGCGGAGGUGAGUCAUUUAGCAGACGCUCUGAUGCGGAGGUGAGUCAUUUAGCAGACGCUCUGAUCCAGUAGUGAAUCAUUUAGCAGACGCUCUGAUGCGGAGGUGAGUCAUUUAGCAGACGCUCUGAUGCCGAGGUGAGUCAUUUAGCAGACGCUCUGAUGCAGAGGUGAAUCAUUUAGCAGACGCUCUGAUGCGGAGGUGAGUCAUUUAGCAGACGCUCUGAUGCGGAGGUGAGUCAUUUAGCAGACGCUCUGAUGCGGAGGUGAGUCAUUUAGCAGACGCUCUGAUGCAGAGGUGAAUCAUUUAGCAGACGCUCUGAUGCGGAGGUGAGUCAUUUAGCAGACGCUCUGAUGCGGAGGUGAGUCAUUUAGCAGACGCUCUGAUCCAGUAGUGAAUCAUUUAGCAGACGCUCUGAUGCGGAGGUGAGUCAUUUAGCAGACGCUCUGAUGCAGUAGUGAGUCAUUUAGCAGACGCUCUGAUGCAGUAGUGAGUCAUUUAGCAGACGCUCUGAUCCAGUAGUGAGUCAUUUAGCAGACGCUCUGAUGCAGUAGUGAGUCAUUUAGCAGACGCUCUGAUCCAGUAGUGAGUCAUUUAGCAGACGCUCUGAUCCAGUAGUGAGUCAUUUAGCAGACUCUCUGAUCCAGUAGUGAGUCAUUUAGCAGACGCUCUGAUGCAGAGGUGAGUCAUUUAGCAGACGCUCUGAUCCAGUAGUGAGUCAUUUAGCAGACACUCUGAUCCAAUAGUGAGUCAUUUACCAGACGCUCUGAUGCAGUAGUGAGUCAUUUAGCAGACGCUCUGAUCCAGUAGUGAGUCAUUUAGCAGACGCUCUGAUCCAGUAGUGAGUCAUUUAGCAGACGCUCUGAUGCAGUAGUGAGUCAUUUAGCAGACGCUCUGAUGCAGUAGUGAGUCAUUUAGCAGACGCUCUGAUCCAGUAGUGAGUCAUUUAGCAGACGCUCUGAUGCAGUAGUGAGUCAUUUAGCAGACGCUCUGAUCCAGUAGUGAGUCAUUUAGCAGACGGUCUGAUCCAGUAGUGAGUCAUUUAGCAGACGCUCUGAUCCAGUAGUGAGUCAUUUAGCAGACGGUCUGAUCCAGUAGUG